Molecule: long non-coding RNA, 944 nt
Filed under: Pan troglodytes (chimpanzee)
Lineage: Eukaryota; Metazoa; Chordata; Mammalia; Primates; Hominidae
Description: long non-coding RNA NONPTRT016646
Source: RNAcentral
CAGGGAGACUGGCCCAGCAGGGGCUCUCUGGGCCAACUGAGCAAGGUGACAGGGCCCAGGAAAGGAGCUGUUGCCUGCACAAGGGCAGAUGGAGUCAAGGAAUCAGUGUUCGUGGGAUCCUGGCUGUCCCCACAGUGUCGUGGCUGAACCUUACAAGAACAGAAGCAAGUGAAGCACAGGUGGCCAGCCACCUCAUGGGGGAAGUAUUGAUAACGAAGGGACUCAAAGCAGCAUAGACAUGGGAUGCUGAGGGGCCAAGUGAGCAGAGCAGAGAGUGAGUGCUGCAAGUCCUCGGAGAGGUCAACCGGGACCCAAGCAUCCAGAAAAGGCAGGGACCAUGCAAAGGGGUCCGAAAAAUGGGACCUUCAGUGGAAAGCACUGAGAAGACCAUUAUUCAGUCUCUGUGCCCAGAAUCACUGUCUGCCAGGCUCUGGCCAACCUGUAGCCUCUCCGUGCUGAAAACGACCCGCUAAAAAAGCCAAGAGGGAAGGACCCAGCACACAGCCGUGAACCACAUAUACACGAAGAGGGCCUAAAGUAAAAAAGAUAAACUUUAAAUCAAACGGAAACUUUUUCCAGCAACUUCCACUCUUGUGAUACUGAACUGAACUGAAGCAGAAGAUUUUAAGAGUUGCCUGAAUCCUUUGGAUUAACCUGCUUAUUGGCUUAAAAAGUCUAAUUGUGAAAUUGACUUAAAAAUUCCUAAUUGUGAAAGAAGGGGUCUCUUCUUUGGCAUGGCACUCUCACUAACAAUUGUCUUGGUAAGAGGACCCAACAAACAGCAAUAGAAAUAGAAAACUAUGGAUUGCUAGGUGAGAGUAUUUUUUAACCUGCUUCAAUCUACAACUGCAAAAUGAACUGGCCCAAUUUAAUUAGAAAAAUUUCAGAGUUUCUGACCACUGAUCUACAUUACUGAAAGGUUACAUGUGAAAUAAAUGUGGGGU